Molecule: transfer RNA, 64 nt
Filed under: Cavia porcellus (domestic guinea pig)
Lineage: Eukaryota; Metazoa; Chordata; Mammalia; Rodentia; Caviidae
Rfam family: tRNA
About the family: Transfer RNA (tRNA) molecules are approximately 80 nucleotides in length. Their secondary structure includes four short double-helical elements and three loops (D, anti-codon, and T loops). Further hydrogen bonds mediate the characteristic L-shaped molecular structure. tRNAs have two regions of fundamental functional importance: the anti-codon, which is responsible for specific mRNA codon recognition, and the 3' end, to which the tRNAs corresponding amino acid is attached (by aminoacyl-tRNA synthetases). tRNAs cope with the degeneracy of the genetic code in two manners: having more than one tRNA (with a specific anti-codon) for a particular amino acid; and 'wobble' base-pairing, i.e. permitting non-standard base-pairing at the 3rd anti-codon position.
Source: Rfam by way of RNAcentral
GGGGAUUUAGCUCAGCGGCAUAAGCGCCUGCCUUGCAAGCAGGCAGUUGUGAUUUCAAUCCCUA